This 433-nucleotide long non-coding RNA is filed under the name Mytilus galloprovincialis (Mediterranean mussel). Lineage: Eukaryota; Metazoa; Mollusca; Bivalvia; Mytilida; Mytilidae. The record is from RNAcentral.
UACAAAUCCUUUCUGAUUAAAACAUAAUUAUUCAACAAAACGAUGUACAUGUCUCUAUCUAUUUGUGUUGUUGAGUUUUUUCUUAUCGACGUAUGUCCUUUUUUCAAUUUUCUACCAAGGAAUGAGCACAUUUGGAGGCGGAUAACGGUACAGACUUAAUUUUCAACCGUUGAAGGAACUGUUGGGUUUAAGUUAGAACUGUAUAAGGGAAAAUAAACCCCAGGGACAUUUUUGGAAACUAUAGUUUCGUCAUGCUGAAAUAUAUAUAUAUAUGAUUUAAUGGUAUCUUCCAAGUAAAACAUGACGUUAGUCUUCCAUUCCACUCUCAGGAAAUUCUUUUGUUUUUCCAAAAACAAUAUAGUGCUAAUGGCUUAUCAUUGAACAAGUUGUACUGUGACUUCUGUUCGAAAUCCAAUUGUCCAAGAUUAUGCAG